Molecule: ribosomal RNA, 448 nt
Filed under: uncultured Planctomycetota bacterium
Lineage: Bacteria; Pseudomonadati; Planctomycetota
Description: bacterial SSU rRNA
Rfam family: Bacterial small subunit ribosomal RNA
Source: RNAcentral
GCUUAGAGAGGGGUCAAUGUCCUAUCAGCUAGUUGGUAAGGUAAUGGCUUACCAAGGCUAAGACGGGUAGCCGGCCUGAGAGGGUGGUCGGCCACACUGGGACUGAGACACUGCCCAGACUCCUACGGGAGGCUGCAGUCGAGAAUCUUUCGCAAUGCCCGAAAGGGUGACGAAGCGACGCCGCGUGUGGGAAGAAGGCCUUCGGGUUGUAAACCACUGUCGGGAGUUAAGAAAUGUAAGGGUGUUAAUAGCAUCCUUACUUGACUAAGGCUCCGGAGGAGGCCACGGCUAACUCUGUGCCAGCAGCCGCGGUAAUACAGAGGCGGCAAGCGUUGUUCGGAAUUAUUGGGCGUAAAGAGCACGUAGGCGGCUUUGUAAGUCAGUUGUGAAAGCCUUCCGCUUAACGGAAGAACAGCAUCUGAUACUGCAAGGCUAGAGUGCGGAAGGG